Molecule: ribosomal RNA, 683 nt
Filed under: uncultured bacterium
Lineage: Bacteria
Description: bacterial SSU rRNA
Rfam family: Bacterial small subunit ribosomal RNA
Source: RNAcentral
GUCCGCUUCGGCGGAUGAGUAGAGUGGCGCACGGGUGAGUAACGCGUAAAUAAUCUACCCUUUUAUCUGGGAUAACAUCGGGAAACCGGUGCUAAUACCGGAUACGUUCUUCGAUAUGCAGGUAUUGAAGAAGAAAGGUGGCCUCUGAUUCAAGCUACCGUAGAGGGAUGAGUUUGCGUACCAUUAGCUAGUUGGUGGGGUAACGGCCUACCAAGGCGACGAUGGUUAGCGGGUCUGAGAGGAUGAUCCGCCACACUGGAACUGGAACACGGACCAGACUCCUACGGGAGGCAGCAGUGAGGAAUAUUGCGCAAUGGGGGCAACCCUGACGCAGCGACGCCGCGUGGGUGAGGAAGGUUUUCGGAUCGUAAAGCCCUGUCAGGUGGGAAGAAGUGUAAUGUGGUUAAUACCCAUGUUAUUUGACGGUACCACCAAAGGAAGCACCGGCUAACUCCGUGCCAGCAGCCGCGGUAAUACGGAGGGUGCGAGCGUUGUUCGGAAUUACUGGGCGUAAAGGGCGCGCAGGCGGCUUGAUAAGUCAGACGUGAAAGCCCACGGCUCAACCGUGGAAGUGCAUCUGAAACUGUCUGGCUUGAGUAUGGGAGAGGAAAGUGGAAUUCCUGGUGUAGAGGUGAAAUUCGUAGAUAUCAGGAGGAACACCGGUGGCGAAGGCGACUUUCUGG